AUGUGGGAGCGCUUACUUUUAGUGUUGUUCAUCCUCAUAGCAUGUUUCCGUCCAGUCAAGUAUGUGAACCACGCCAGGACAGGCAAUAGCACAGAUGCUGAGCACUUGGUUAGUGCUCGGAUGAGGAUGUCUUCAACUUGUCCACAAAGAAGAUUUUCAGUUUGUUUAGCAGCUCGUGAAAUACAUCUUUACAAAACACAUCAUGAAGUGCCAAGAGGGAGUGCAUGUGACCAUAGGCUGCUCCAUCUACAAGAAAACUUGUUAUCCAGAACACGUGCCGUGGGAGAAAGAAGAGAGAAUGCUGAGGAGCUGCUGAUGGCUAAGUGCAACCGUUUUUCGGCCUACGUGAACGUGAUCUCCAGGUUGUUAAUAUUUCUGCUGGUGGCCUUCAUCGCCUUUAUGUGCAGCAGAGGAACAUCUGUGCCUGCCUGCUCACUGAAUGCAAAGUAA
Molecule: long non-coding RNA, 450 nt
Filed under: Coturnix japonica (Japanese quail)
Lineage: Eukaryota; Metazoa; Chordata; Aves; Galliformes; Phasianidae
Description: lncRNA (ENSCJPG00005015948.1)
Source: RNAcentral